Rhododendron vialii is the source of this 6316-nucleotide RNA transcript. It is a transcript of the gene named pentatricopeptide repeat-containing protein At2g15820, chloroplastic, with no coding region annotated. The record is from RefSeq and is a predicted model, not a curated record. NCBI's taxonomy places the organism in Eukaryota, Viridiplantae, Streptophyta, Magnoliopsida, Ericales, Ericaceae. The transcript has 5 exons.
CUCCAAAUGCAAUCAACGCUCUUCCCUCCCUCGCCAUCACUUCCUCAACCCAAACACCAGCAAUGCUUCUAACCAGACCCCAAGACCUCCUCUCACCAUUCCCUUUCUCUCUCCUCCCAAACCCCAACCCUAACCUCAAAGCAACCAGACUCGCAUCCACUCCCAUCCGCAAUGCCCUCGCACUCCCCUUUCUCUCUCUUCCCUUCCCCGCACCCCGCACUCGCCGAUUACCUCCGCUGGCGUCGAGUACUUUCGUCGAACAGUUGGUGGACUCGACCGAUAACGAAAGCUUCAAUUUCGACGCCUCUUUCGAGUCUCCGGAAUUGAAGAAGCUGGUGAAGUCGCCGCCGCUGGAGGUUCGGGAGCUGGAGGAGCUGCCUGAGCAGUGGCGGAGGACGAAGUUGGCGUGGCUGUGUAAGGAGUUGCCGGCGCACAAGGCGUCGAUGCUGGUUCGGAUACUCAAUGCGCAGCGGAAGUGGAUUAGGCAAGAGGAUGGGACCUAUGUGGCCGUUCAUUGCAUGCGGAUUCGCGAAAAUGAGACGGGGUUUAGGGUAUACAAAUGGAUGAUGCAACAACAUUGGUUUCGAUUUGAUUUUGCUCUUGCUACUAAGUUAGCUGAUUUCUUGGGAAAGGAGCGAAAAUACUUGAAGUGUCGGGAGAUAUUUGAUGACAUAAUCAAUCAGGGGCGAGUGCCUAGUGAGUCCACCUUUCAUAUUUUGAUAACUGCCUAUCUAAGUUCGCAAGGUCACGGUUGCUUAGAUCAGGCAUGCAGCAUUUAUAAUCGCAUGAUUCAACUGGGUGGCUACAAGCCCCCACUUAGCUUGCACAACUCUCUAUUCAGAGCCCUUGUGAGCAAUCCAGGAGGCUCUUCUAAAAAGUAUCUCAAACAGGCAGAGUUCAUAUAUCAUAAUCUUGUAACUUCUGAACUUGAGAUACAUAAGGAUAUAUACGGCGGUCUGAUUUGGCUCCACAGUUACCAGGACAACAUAGACAAGGAGAGAAUAGAAUCAUUAAGAUCAGAAUUGCAGGUAGCGGGAAUUCAAGAGAGAAGAGAGGUGCUUGUGUCCAUCUUGAGAGCUUGUUCCAAAAAUGGGGAUGUGCAGGAAGCUGAAAGAGUUUGGCUCAAACUCAUUCAUUGUGAGGGUUCUCUCCCUUAUCAAGCUUUUGUGCAUAGAAUGGGAGUCUAUGCAAAGGUUGGACAACCUCUUAAAUCUUUGGAGAUAUUCAGGAGAAUGCAGGAGCACUUGGGUUCCACCAAUGUUGUCGCAUAUCUGAAAAUCAUAGAGGUGUUAUCUAAAGCUCGAAAAAUCGAACUUGCAGAGUCACUUAUGGGAGAGUUCAUGGAGAGUGGUUUGAAGCCAAUAGGGCCAUCUUUUGUUGAUCUAAUGGAUAUGUAUUUCAGUUUAGAUUUGCAUGACAAAUUGGAGUCAACUUUCUUCCAGAGCCUUGAGAAACGCCGUCCCAAUCGUACUAUUUAUAACAUAUACUUGGAUUCACUGGUAAAAACUGGCAAUAUUGGGAAGGCUGAAGAAAUUUUCAACCAAAUGCUCAGUAAUGGUACAAUUGGUGUUAACACCCGAUCAAGUAACAGUAUCUUAAGUGGUUACCUGUCUAAUGGAGAGUAUGUGAAGGCAGAGAAGAUAUAUGAUUUAAUGUGCCAGAAAAAAUAUGUUGUAGAACCCCCACUGAUGGAAAAACUUGAUUAUGUUAUGAGCUUGAGCAAGAAAGUUGUCAAAAAGCCUGUGAGUUUGAAACUCAGCGUGGAGCAGCGAGAGAUUUUGAUGGGGUUGCUGUUAGGCGGGCUGCGCAUUGAAUCAGAUGAAGCGGGAAAGAAACAUGCACUCCAUUUUGUGUUCAGUGGGAAACUUGACUCGCACACUUCAUUAAAAAGGCAUAUAUAUGACCAGUUCCAUGAGUGGUUAGCUUCUUCAUUCAAACCCAUUGAUGGCAGUGAUGACAUACCAUGCCAGUUUUUUACAGUAUCGCACUCUUACUUUGGUUUCUAUGCAGACCAGUUCUGGCCAAAGGGCCAAGCUGUGAUUCCGAAGCUAAUUCAUCGGUGGUUGUCACCACGGGUUCUUGGGUACUGGUAUAUGUUUGCGGGCUACCGAACAUCAUCAGGCGAUAUUUUGUUGAAGGUAAAGGGAAGUCAAGAGGGUGCUGAGAGGAUUGUGAAGGCAUUGAAGGCAAAAUCUUUGGACUGCAAGGUAAAAAAGAAGGGGAGGGUGUUUUGGUUAGGUUUUCUGGGAAGCAAUUCAACGUUGUUGUGGAAACUCAUAGAACCUUAUGUUCUAGAUGAUUUGAGUGAUUUUCUGGAAGCAGGUGGCCAAUCCUUAGAGAGAAUAUCAGAAAACAGUUUUGGUGGUCAGUCUGAUUCUGAUGAUGUGGCAUCAGACUACAGCGAUCAUGAUUAUUCUUCAGAUUUCUAGUUUCAUUGUUUGCUCAGUUUUUAUGAUAUUGUCUGGUCAAACUCUUCAAGUUGGUUACUGGAUGAAUCCUUUUUUGCACUGUACCUAACAAGCUUAUGGAGUAGAAUGUCAUUCUUUAUGAAGUGCACUAGUUGGGAUCACAUCAAAUAGUUCUUAUGCAUCAGUUUCCAACUGCUGAAUGUGGAUCGUAUUGAGCUAAGCAACAUCUUUCGCUAUCUUAUCUUUGCCUUUUCUGUUUACCAUUAAUCACAAGAGGGUUUUACAACCCUGUGACGUAAGAACUAUGCCACUGUAAACAUCACUGGUUUCUGCAUCUCCAGUUUAUGAAAACUUUCUGGAUUCCAACUUGAUGGCCUGCAUUGGGCCGAUUGGGCUCUCCUACCAAGUUUCCAACCCAUUUAAUUGGUCUUAGCUUGCUUAGGUAUUGCUGUUGGUUCAUUGGAGUGAUUUUCUUCCUGGAUGGAAUGGAGCAUGGAAUGCGACAGCCUUAAUUGUUAUUUUGAUGUUUGGUUUGUGCAUGAAUCAGUUCAAAGCUCUCAUUUUGAUACCUGUGAUUAGUUGCUGAAAUAAUGCAUAGACUGGGACGAAUUUUUCAAUGCAAUUUUGCCACAACCACAAACCUUUACACAGCCUCACACACAAUAUUUGUGGGGUCCACACACACUGCACACCUCCAGUGUGUGUAGGGCCCACAUGUCUUGUGAGUGAGUGUGUGUAUUUGUUUGUGGUUGUAGCAUUUUCUGCUUCAACAAGCAGACCAAGUACCCCGUCCUUUUUUUAAUUUUUCUUCGAAAUGGCUGUAAGAAGUUUUGGACAAAAGCUUCGCUCUUUACAAAACACAAUUUUUGAAGUUUACAGGCCCUUAUCUUUUACUAUAUAAUAUAGUUCCACUGCUUUGCUUUCUUUGGCAAUGUUGUCUCAUUGCAAAGUUUUGCUAUACAUCGGAGAAGUACCCAAAAUUAGUUUGUGAGGUAGAUUAACCCGAUUUGCCCUAAGUUUGAAUCUACACCCCAAACUUCACUUUCUGGGGUAUUCUAGAUGCAAUUAUUGUUGCAUUUUGAAUAUUCAACCUUUAGAUUCUUGUUGACUAAUAGUUUAACAUUAUGCAUCUUGAUUUCUUGUUGCUUGCCUUCUGAAGGAUGCUUCUGAUAAGAGGAGAAUUAUAAGUGAUGGGUGAUCUGUUUGCAGGCUUCUUCCUUUGAUGCUAGAUACAGGGAACUUUUGAGAAAAAGUACCCCUGGUGUGGUGUUUCUACAAACCAAGAAAUAUAAGCUUAAGUUUACAAACUCUAUUUUUUUAAUCUCUGCAUCUUUACAUCUCAUUUGUUCUUUCUUUUUCUUUUUCUCCUUCUUUGAGCAGUUAGCAACGUUCAGAAUACUGAGAUAAUUGCUGGAUUUUAGUUGGUUUGCUUGUUAGCAAUGAGGGACACAUUAUGACUUGUUUCCACUGUGUUUGCCCCUCAAGCUAUGUCCCAACCUUAGAGAAUUUAGGCUAUGUAGAGUUACAGAGAACCCAAUGUUGAUGUGUCCUUUGAUAGGACACUCCCUAUUUUGGAAGACAGAAGUUGUAACCUUAGUUCUUGACCUAGACAUAGCUAUUUUGAAAGCCUCUUUUCUCCCCGAUUCACUAAAGUGCAAUAUUAUCACUUUGUCUAAAUCUCCCGCGAAGCUGGUGAUUUGUGCCUAGUCAUAGGACACCCAAGGGUAGAAUAUGCUUCUAGGUUUGGUUUUGUUUCUUCCCCAAAUAGGUACCCCUACCAUUUUUCAGAUAAUGUUUUUGAGACCCCCUUCAAAAAGGUGGUGGCCGGAUAUGAUAUGAUGAAAGUUGGUAUAUUCUUGAGCCAAGGGUUCUCUGGUUCUCCUUUCUUAAACGCUGGGGGAGAAACUAUUGUCAUUUACGAGGGGGCUAGGUGGAAGUGCUCUAGGUAUACCAGCAAUUUUCUGUGCGGAGGUUUUAUCGUAUGCCAUGAACAAGGGUAAAAGUGAUGCUGUUAUUGUGGAAAAUUUUCCGUUUGUAACAGGUUUGUUCUUUGUUGUUUCAAUUACUUUCUUUGUAAAAUUCCAUCAAAUAGUCUUAUCAACUUGAUUUCUAAUAUUGUUGAUGACAAUGCAGGUGAUGGAAUAAAAGGUUGCCAAAUGAAGAAUAGGUUUUAUAGUGCUUUAUGAGAGUGUGUCUCUCUCGGGUUGUCACAGCCUCUAAAUCAUUUCUAGAAUUGUUUACAUUGGUAAAUUUUUGUUUAGUGAAUAACUUUGCUCUUUAGUGUAUCGAGAAGAAAAGAGGCUUUCAAAAUAGCUACGUCUAGGUCAGGAACUAAGGUCACAACUUCUGUCUUCACACUAGGGAGUGUCCUAUCAAAGGACACAUCAACAUUGGGUUCAGAGUACUGUAACUCUACAGAGUCUAGAUCCUCUAAGGUUGGGACAUGGCUUUGUUGGAAGUCUAAUCCGCCUGAGGUCUUCCUGUAUGCGCGCAGGCCCAAUCCACUAGAGAGUGUCCACGGAGCCCACACCACAUCGCAUGGACCCAAUAUACAUUAGAUGACCCAUAUCUACUUAAAAGGCUAAGCCUUGUAAAUAGUGAGCCAUCCAAUUGUAUAUUAAGGUCCAACCUUUUUUCUAUUUAUCCUGGGUCUCAACCUUUCACACAUGUUCCCUAACAAUUUUGUGAAGUGUACAGGCCCUUAUCUUUUACUGUAUAAUAUAGUUCCACUGCCUUGCUUUCUUUGGCAAUGUGGUUUCGUUGCAAAGUUCUGCUAUACACCGGAGAAGUACCCAAAAUUAGUUUGUGAGGUAGAUUAACCUGAUCUGCCUUAAGUUUGAAUCUACACCACAAACUCCACUUUCUGGGUAUUCUAGAUGCAAUUGUUGUUGCAUUUUGAAUAUUCGAACUUUAGAUUCUUGUUGACUAACAGUCCAACAUUAUGCAUCUUGAUUUCUUGCGGCUUGCCUUCUGAUGGAUGCUUUUGAUAAGAGGAGAAUUACAAGUGAUGGGAAGCUGAAAGAACUCUGCAGUUGAUUCUUUUGAGCGCUUGAAUGUUGCAAAGCAUCUGUCUGCUCUCAUUUCAUUAAGAUCCUGCAUUCAUACGACUUGGGUCUUGGGGAGCUUAUUAAAAGGAGAAGACUAACCCAGUUUCUGCUAAUUCCAUCUAAAGGAUUCCUCCACACAACAACUUUCUUCUGUUUCAAGCCUUCCUCUAAAUCUAGGCCAAAUCUGAAUGAUGAUAUAGAUUUGAGUCAAUGCAAGACACUGAUAUAAUUAUUCCAAUGGCAUGCAUUCAAGGGGAGGGUUUGAUGUCAGUGUAAUGGUGAAUCAUGGAUGAUGUCAAGGAAUCAACGGCCGUGGACAAAAAGAAUCUCUGUAAAAUAUUCAAAACAACCUUGUGGAGACAGCUGCAUGUGUCCCCAACAAACUCACCCUAGUUAUUAAUGGACGGUGGUCUUUAAAUUUUUUGGGGCAACCCAUUGAUGUAGCCUUUUCUAGAUCUCUCUGCAGCGUUUAUGAUGACAACGUGAGUCUUAUGCAAGUUUGAUACCCUUCCCCAUGGCAUCAGUUAACACAUAACCUAACCCCCAGUGAUUCAAUGGCUUGCUUAGGGAAACGGGUACCCUGCAGGGUGCACUACAUGGGUGCACGAUCCUACAAUCAAUGGUCCAAAUUUCAAAAAGUAUCGAUACUUCUAGCAAAUUUGGACUAUUAUAAACACUUUUGGACUGCUCGGUUUGGGCACUACAUCAUGGAGUACAGCUGUGGUCAUUAGUGAAUGUGCAAUUUUUCUUUUGUGGUGAUUCUACCAUGUAGUAUCACUCUUAUCCUGCGGAAUUUGAAGUGAAAAAUAUGAGAUUAAGAAUUGAGAUAUGUUGAGUCGAUAAAUGAAGCAUAAUUUCAUC